CUGCGAGGCAUUGAGCUAACUGAUACUAAUUGCCCGUGAGGCUUAACCAUACAACACCCAAGGGGUUU
Molecule: ribosomal RNA, 68 nt
Filed under: Photobacterium aquimaris
Lineage: Bacteria; Pseudomonadati; Pseudomonadota; Gammaproteobacteria; Vibrionales; Vibrionaceae
Description: partial 23S ribosomal RNA
Source: RNAcentral